RNAcentral lists this long non-coding RNA (1423 nucleotides) under Phaseolus vulgaris (common bean). RNAcentral's name for it is "long non-coding RNA (PVUL_LNC004831)". Lineage: Eukaryota; Viridiplantae; Streptophyta; Magnoliopsida; Fabales; Fabaceae. The record is from RNAcentral.
GAGAAGCCCCUUCUUCCCCACCACAGUUUUUUUCUUCUUUCUCUCUCUCCAUAUUCUCUUCUCUCCCUCUCUCUUAAUUUCUCUCCCAAUCUUCAUCUAUUUUAGAAUCUGAUCAUACCACGCUGUAGCAGAGGAGUUAAGGAACAUUUCUACCCGAUCAGAUUUUCAAACAGAGUAAGUUCAUUUUUACUCUAAAUAUCCUUUGUUCUCUGUUUUUCCUUAGGAUCUAGUCAUCAAUCUUGGUGGGGUCAGUUGAGAAGUUUAAUCCUUUCAACUUAUUCUAUUAUAUACUGAAUUUUUGUUCUGUUUGGAUAAUUUGCAUUAGGCCCGUAAAUCUUGAAGCUUAUCCAAACGGUGGGGAAUAAAAUUCUAAAAGUUGUUUGGAAAGCAAGCAAUUGAGGUAAGGGAAGCUAAAUUUAAUUUUUUUAUAGCACCCUAGGAUAGAAGAUCUGAAUGCGGAAGGGACGUGGUCCCAAUAUUGAAUUUCUCUUGCAGGGGUGUUAUUUGUUUAUAUAUUGUGUGUUUGUUUAUAUAUUAUAUAAACUUUAUAAAUAUUAUAUUUUGAUAGUUUGAGAGUUAAAUAUUGUUUUUGAUGUUGGAAAAGUUCUGGAAUGAUAUGAAUUUUUAAAUGUUAUGUGAUUGAAUGAUAUGUAUUAUAUGCGGAUGAUGUAAAUUGUAUGAAAGUGAUGUCAUACAUUUGGGAUAAUGUAUGAGUUGUUGUUUGAUGGUACGUUAAGUAUGAAAAGCCUAUGUUUAACGGAGAUCCUCUGGCUUCACUAAUGAUCUAAGUCAUGUAGACUAAGAUAUUAGGUGGUGAGAAGCUAAGAGGGAGUUCAUACACACCGGGUCCCACUGUAGACACUCGGUAUUGGAUGUUUGAACUUACCCUGAUCCUUUCUAUUGGAUUCGCUGGUAAUCUUUGGGUCAAGUGUUAGUCUCUGGUAGGGGCAUACUUAAUGAGUCUUCCGGAAGACGUUGUUUGUUGAAUAUUCUGGAUGUGUAGAUCCAUGUUAGAUCUAUGUGAUUGUUUAUUGUUGAGAUUUGAAGAAAUUUGAAUAAUUUGAGAAAUUGAUCAUGUAAUUUGGUUUUCUCUUUUGAUUUAAUUGUGUAUAUUAUAAAAUUAUAUUUUCACUAGCUUACCCUUGCUUUUCUUGUUGUGUUUGAACUGCGAUGACUGUACUAUGUACACGAGCAGAUGACCAUACAGGUGCAGGAGAGCCUUAGAGGUUUCAGAGUUUUAUUUUGAUAUGUAGAUAUGUACAUAUUUGUAUUUCUAUAAAUCCUAAUCAUGUAUUAGGAAUGUUUUGAAAAACUCCAAGUUUGUAUAGAAAGUGGUAGAUCUUUUAUUGUAAUAAUUAUAUGUAAAUUAAGGGGUGUUACACUUUCUAACCAAUCUCUUGCUAUCAUUUAAAAAAUCUAUUUG